RNAcentral lists this ribosomal RNA (253 nucleotides) under uncultured bacterium. RNAcentral's name for it is "partial 16S ribosomal RNA". It matches the Rfam family "Bacterial small subunit ribosomal RNA", at positions 524 to 776 of the family's 1533-position model. The record is from RNAcentral.
UACGUAGGUGGCAAGCGUUAUCCGGAUUUACUGGGUGUAAAGGGCGUGUAGGCGGGACUGCAAGUCAGAUGUGAAAAUUAUGGGCUCAACCCAUAACCUGCAUUUGAAACUGUAGUUCUUGAGUGAUGGAGAGGCAGGCGGAAUUCCGUGUGUAGCGGUGAAAUGCGUAGAUAUACGGAGGAACACCAGUGGCGAGGGCGGCCUGCUGGACAUUAACUGACGCUGAGGCGCGAAAGCGUGGGGAGCAAACAGG